CUAAGCCCCAAGGCCUAGCAAGGGCCCCGUUCCCAUGCUGAACACGGAAGUUAAGCUCUUCAGCGCCGAUGGUAGUUGGGGCUUUCCCCCUGUGAGAGUAGGACGCCGCCAAGC
Molecule: ribosomal RNA, 114 nt
Filed under: Bacillus sp. SL112
Lineage: Bacteria; Bacillati; Bacillota; Bacilli; Caryophanales; Bacillaceae
Source: RNAcentral